Molecule: ribosomal RNA, 2416 nt
Organism: Salpingoeca rosetta
Lineage: Eukaryota; Choanoflagellata; Craspedida; Salpingoecidae
Source: RefSeq, a predicted model, not a curated record
GCCGAAUCAACUAGCCCUGAAAAUGGAUGGCGCUCAAGCGUCGUACCUAUACUCGCUGUGUGUGGAAGAAAGCGAGCGAAGCGAGCAUUCGUGCUUGUUGCGUCUCAAACUACAUGUAGCCACACACAAGUAGGUGGGCGUGGAGGUGUUUGCGUGAGAGCAAUCUUUUGAACAAGCCGUGGAAGCCUGUGGCGUGAGCCUGGGUGGAGGGGCCUCCAGUGCAGAUCUUGGUGACAGUAGCAACGAUUCAAAUGAGAGCUUUGAAGACUGAAGUGGAGCAAGGUUCCGUGGGAACAGCAGUUGGCCACGGGUGAGUCGGUCCUAAGAGAUGGGGCAGUCCUGUGUCAAGUGGGGAGUUGUUGCGUGUGUGUGGGUGGUGGUGAUAUUAUCGCCAUGCUUGCACACGUGUUGAUUACCCCAGUCCAUCGAAAGGGAACCAGGUUAAGAUUCCUGGACCAACGCACGCCACAAAGAAUGUUUUGAUAGAGCAGCGGCAACGCGUACAAACUCGGAGACGCUGCCGGGGGCCCUGGAAAGAGUUUUCUUUUCUUUUUAACGAGCCGCAUUGUGGGGGGGAAUAGGGGGAAUAGUGUUAGUUUAUUCUGCGCUCUUCAACCUUCCUCCUCGCAUUCUCUGACCCUGGAAUCAGUUUGGCUGGAGAUGGGGUGAGAGGCUCGGCAAAGCACCACUGACCUCUUUUUGUUGUGGUGUCCGGCGCGUUCCCGGCGGUCCAUGAAAAUCCGAGGGUGUGAAUGGUAGCAGUGUGGGGGGAAGAAGAGAAGCACUUGUGCUAAUCUAUUUUCUCCGCUGCAUGUGGGCAUGGUUGGCCGUACUGAUAACCGCAGCAGGUCUCCAAGGUGAAGAGCCUCUAGUUUGAUAGACGAAUGUAGGUAAGGGAAGUCGGCAAAAUAGAUCCGUAAGCUCGCGAUAAGGAUUGGCUCAAGAGGUUGAUUGUGUGUGUGGGGGGUGGCGGUGAAAGGGGGUGUGUGUGUGUUUUCAUACACGCUUCCAUUGGCACUCUUACUGUCUGCGCACACUAUUUUUUAGCAACCGAUCUUGAACUGGUACGGACAAGGGGAAUCCGACUGUUUACUUAAAACAAAGCAUUGCGAGGAUAGGCUGUUGCGACGGUGUAGACGCAAUGUGAUUUCUGCCCAGUGCUCAGAAUGUCAACGUGAAGAAAUUCAAGCCAAGCGCGGGAUCAACGGCGGAAGUAACUAUGACUUUCUUAAGGUAGCCAAAUGCCUCGUCAUUUAACUGGUGACGCGCAUGAAUGGAUUAACGAGAUUCCCACUGUCCCUAUCUACGCUCUAGCGAAACCGCAGCCAAGGGAACGGACUUGGCACAAUCAGCGGGGAAAGAAGACCCGCUAGAGCUUGACUCUAGUCCGACCGUGUGAAAAGACACCAGAGGUGUAGCAUAGGUGGGAGCAGGUGUGGGUUUACUUGUGCUUGCGGCCUUGAAAUACCACUACUCUGGUCGUUUUUUUGCUUAUUGAAUGACACGGGGCUGGUGUGGGUGAUUGUGGUGUGCGUAGCGCGCAUUUCUUGUGUGAGCUGUGCGCACCCGAUCACACAUGUGCACCAUUUCUGGAGAAAGGGAGGGCAGCGUGGAGUGUUUGUGCACUUUAUGUUAUGCCGAUCCCGACCCGCUUUCAAGACGAGGUCAGGUGGGGAGUUUGGCUGGGGCGGCACAUCUGUAAAACGAUAACGCAGGUGUCCCAAGGUGAGCUCAAUGAGAACGGAAAUCUCAUGUGGAGUAAAAGGACAAAAGCUCACUUGAUUUUGUGAUUUUCAGGAUGAAUACAAACUGUGAAAGCAUGGCCUAUCGAUCCUUUAGUCGCGGCGGAUAAGAGUGAACAACGCACUCGUGCGUCUAAGCUCCCAUUCUGCACUGCGCCUGUUGACAGCUUCAACCUAGAGGUGUCCGAAAAGUUACCGGCGGGAUAACUGGCUUGUGGCAGCCAAGCGUUCAUAGCGACGUUGCUUUUUGAUCCUUCGAUGUCGACUCUUCCUAUCAUUGUGAAGCAGAAUUCACCAAGUGUUGGAUUGUUCACCCACUAAUAGGGAACGUGAGUUGGGUUUAGACCGUCGUGAGACAGGUUAGUUUUACCCUACUGAUGAUAUUUAUGACUUACACAGUUGUGAUAGUAAUUCAACUCAGUACGAGAGGAACCGUUGAUUCGGAUAGUUGGUUCAUGCGGUUGGCUGAGGAGCCAGGGCCGCGACGCUAUCAUCCGUAGGAUUAUGACUGAACGCCUCUAAGUCAGAAUCCAUGCUAGAUUUGCGCAGCUGUACUGUUGCUGGUGGUGGCAUGUAAAAGUGUUGCUGCCAGUGGUUUUUGGUUUCUCUUCGAGAUUUGAUGGUGGUGGUGUGUUGUGGUGCCUCGUGUGCUGCAGUGCACUGUCAUUUAUUGU